Molecule: ribosomal RNA, 301 nt
Filed under: uncultured bacterium
Lineage: Bacteria
Description: partial 16S ribosomal RNA
Rfam family: Bacterial small subunit ribosomal RNA
Source: RNAcentral
CAGUCGCCGCGGUAAUACGUAGGGUGCGAGCGUUGUCCGGAAUUAUUGGGCGUAAAGCGUGCGCAGGCGGUUCGUUAAGACAGAUGUGAAAUCCCCGGGCUUAACCUGGGAACUGCAUUUGUGACUGGCGAGCUAGAGUAUGGCAGAGGGGGGUAGAAUUCCACGUGUAGCAGUGAAAUGCGUAGAGAUGUGGAGGAAUACCGAUGGCGAAGGCAGCCCCCUGGGCCAAUACUGACGCUCAUGCACGAAAGCGUGGGGAGCAAACAGGAUUAGAUACCCCCGUAGUCCCUGUCUCUUAUAC